Molecule: transfer RNA, 87 nt
Filed under: Planctomycetota bacterium
Lineage: Bacteria; Pseudomonadati; Planctomycetota
Also listed under: 1 other name
Description: Planctomycetes bacterium (salt lake metagenome) tRNA-Leu
Rfam family: tRNA
About the family: Transfer RNA (tRNA) molecules are approximately 80 nucleotides in length.
Source: RNAcentral
GCCAGAGUGGCGGAAAGGCAGACGCGCCGGUCUCAAAAACCGGUGGGCAAUCAGCCCUUGUGGGUUCGAAUCCCACCUCUGGCACCA